Molecule: ribosomal RNA, 541 nt
Filed under: uncultured eukaryote
Lineage: Eukaryota
Description: SSU rRNA
Rfam family: Eukaryotic small subunit ribosomal RNA
Source: RNAcentral
UGUAUUUAUUAGAUUAAAAACCAAUGCCCUUCGGGGCUCUCUGGUGAUUCAUAAUAACUUCUCGAAUCGCACGGCCUUGCGCCGGCGAUGGUUCAUUCAAAUUUCUGCCCUAUCAACUUUCGACGGCUGGGUCUUGGCCAGCCGUGGUGACAACGGGUAACGGAGGGUUAGGGCUCGACCCCGGAGAAGGAGCCUGAGAAACGGCUACUACAUCCAAGGAAGGCAGCAGGCGCGCAAAUUACCCAAUCCCGACACGGGGAGGUAGUGACAAUAAAUACUGAUACAGGGCUCUUUCGGGUCUUGUAAUUGGAAUGAGUACAAUUUAAAUCCCUUAACGAGGAACAAUUGGAGGGCAAGUCUGGUGCCAGCAGCCGCGGUAAUUCCAGCUCCAAUAGCGUAUAUUAAAGUUGUUGAGGUUAAAAAGCUCGUAGUUGAACCUUGGGCCUAGCCGGCCGGUCCGCCUCACCGCGUGCACUGGCUCGGCUGGGUCUUUCUUUCCGGAGAACCGCAUGCCCCUCACUGGGUGUGCCGGGGAACCAGG